CUUCUCCAACCUCAAGGCCACGGCUGCCCAAAAUGUUUAGCAGAGGAUGGUUUCGAUCCAUCGACCUCUGGGUUAUGGGCCCAGCACGCUUCCGCUGCGCCACUCUGCUUGGUGCCAUCAGAGGUUAUUGGACGCCUCUUGGGUCAGAGAAAGGUUGAUCUCUUGCGUGCUGACUGUGGGAACCGUGGCACACGUGCUAAACGCACACACGCAGCUGAGGCCGUGGUCGAGGGUUUAGGCACCACGUGUCCAUAAAAGGUCAUGUGGAAACAUGUGAACGAAAGAAAAUGGAGAAAGUUUCUUUUUCGAGUUUGGAAUGUAUGACAUGUCCAUUGAGAGUUUGCUUUCUUUCUCCCCCCUCUAACUGCCUUUCUCACUCUCUCCUCACCCCUUCCUUCUGCUAAGCUCCCAGGGUGGAGAGUUUUGAUGGCACCCAAAGGGCCAACCAGGCUGAGCUUGCCACUGGUUGAGGUAUUGGAGUUGAACCUCUUGCCCUGCCGCAGACACGACUGUGGACUCUCUCUGCACUGACACAGGCAGGUGUCGGGGUUGAGGGGUUGGUUACCGGGACACUCUGCAGCGCACACGCAGCCACACAGCUCCUCAUCCCACCGCUGGCCGGUGGGACACAACUUCCCAUCACCUUGACCUUCACACUGGCAUUCACCUGAGAGGAGAAAGAGUGUUGUGGUCCAGUUUCCAGCCUGGAUCGCAGCUGUCCUCAGUGAGUCCGUUUCGACAGACACACUCGCAGGUGGACUCAUCCAGAACUCUGUUGGGCCCACAGAGCGCCAGCAGACCUGAGUCCAGCGCCUCUGGAAGCCACAUGGAGAUGGAAAAAAAAAGAUGAUCUGUUGCGGCUCGCCUUAUGAUGGAGUGCAGUGGCCGCUUGGAGAGGCAUUCGCACGAAGUGUGGUUUAUAAAGGUUACCAUGACGACAGAGCGGUCCAUCCUGGGCGGGGUCAGCUCCAUCAGCUGGCAGAACACAGAAGGAGAUCUUCAUCGUUAGAGUGGACCAGAGGGCUUGCUGAGGAGGUGGAAAAAGAGGGGAAAGAGGAGGCAUAGGAGUCGCGCCAUGAUUUCUUUCUCAGGCAGUGCUGAAGCAAACUGUAUUCUGGAUACAGAAGCUGUA
Scatophagus argus is the source of this 1132-nucleotide long non-coding RNA. RefSeq lists it as uncharacterized. NCBI's taxonomy places the organism in Eukaryota, Metazoa, Chordata, Actinopteri, Scatophagidae. The transcript has 6 exons. The record is from RefSeq and is a predicted model, not a curated record.